RNAcentral lists this ribosomal RNA (355 nucleotides) under uncultured Fibrobacter sp. RNAcentral's name for it is "bacterial SSU rRNA". It matches the Rfam family "Bacterial small subunit ribosomal RNA", at positions 163 to 519 of the family's 1533-position model. Lineage: Bacteria; Pseudomonadati; Fibrobacterota; Fibrobacteria; Fibrobacterales; Fibrobacteraceae. The record is from RNAcentral.
UUAAUGUCCAGGANAGUGGCCCUCCGCAUGGAGGGUUGACUAGAGAUUUAUCGGUAUGGGAUGAGCUUGCGUCCGAUUAGCUAGUUGGCGGGGCAACGGCCCACCAAGGCGACGAUCGGUAGCCGGCCUGAGAGGGUGAUCGGCCACAUUGGGACUGANAUACGGCCCANACUCCUACGGGAGGCAGCAGUAGGGAAUAUUGCACAAUGGGGGAAACCCUGAUGCANCAACGCCACGUGUGGGAAGAANCAUUUCGGUGUGUAAACCACUGUCAUGAGGGAAUAAGGCCCGCCUCCGGGCGGGAUUGAAUGUACCUUGAAAGGAAGCACCGGCAAACUUCGUGCCAGCAGCCGCG